UCUGAUCAUGCUGCUUAUCAAUGGAUCAAUCACUAUCAGAGUAUUGAUUAACAGUCAGUCAUCAUUUUAAGGUGGAUUUGGUUUGAUGACUGUGGAUACAUUUUCUUUAAGAACGUCUUCUGUCUUGUUUCAUUCAAUUCAGAGAGCCGUGUCUCUCCACACUGAGAGGUUUUUGUAGGGCGGCUCAAUGACUUUGUAUCACUGUGCUGGACUUUUGGUGGAGGAACCAGACUGAAUGUUGGAAGUGAUACCGCCCCCACCCUGACGGUGCUGCCCCCCUCCAGUGAGCAGCUGCAGCAGGGGAAGGCCACGCUCAUGUGUCUGGCCAACAAGGGCUCCCCUCAGACUGGAGUCUGGCCUGGAAGGUGGACAGCAGCAGCAGCAUCAGCUGGGAGGAGAGCAGGAGCCCUGUGGUGCUGGAGAAGGACGGCCUCUAUAGCUGGAGCAGCACCCUGAGGCUCGAUGCAGACCA
Long non-coding RNA from Larimichthys crocea (large yellow croaker), 472 nucleotides. RefSeq lists it as uncharacterized. The record is from RefSeq and is a predicted model, not a curated record. Lineage: Eukaryota; Metazoa; Chordata; Actinopteri; Sciaenidae. The transcript has 3 exons.